Molecule: ribosomal RNA, 445 nt
Filed under: uncultured bacterium
Lineage: Bacteria
Description: bacterial SSU rRNA
Rfam family: Bacterial small subunit ribosomal RNA
Source: RNAcentral
AAUGAACGCUGGCGGCAUGCCUAACACAUGCAAGUCGAACGAAGCCUUCGGGCUUAGUGGCGCACGGGUGCGUAACGCGUGGGAAUCUGCCCUUGGGUUCGGAAUAACAGCGAGAAAUUGCUGCUAAUACCGGAUGAUGACGUAAGUCCAAAGAUUUAUCGCCCAAGGAUGAGCCCGCGUAGGAUUAGCUAGUUGGUGAGGUAAAGGCUCACCAAGGCGACGAUCCUAGCUGGUCUGAGAGGAUGAUCAGCCACACUGGGACUGAGACACGGCCCAGACUCCUACGGGAGGCAGCAGUGGGGAAUAUUGGACAAUGGGCGCAAGCCUGAUCCAGCCAUGCCGCGUGAGUGAUGAAGGCCCUAGGGUUGUAAAGCUCUUUGUGCGGGAAGAUAAUGACGGUACCGCAAGAAUAAGCCCCGGCUAACUUCGUGCCAGCAGCCGCCGU